This 426-nucleotide ribosomal RNA is filed under the name Triticum aestivum (bread wheat). Its description in RNAcentral is "partial small subunit ribosomal RNA". Lineage: Eukaryota; Viridiplantae; Streptophyta; Magnoliopsida; Poales; Poaceae. The record is from RNAcentral.
CUUCUAACUUGGACAAACAAGAGGUAUGCUUCUAACCCAACCAUGGAAAGACUUGAUAGACGUCUGGUUAAUGCUAAAUGGUGUGCGAUUUUUCCCAAUUCUAAUGUUUACAAUCUACCUAUUAUUCUUAGUGAUCACGCUCCUAUUCUACUUUCUACUGAUGCUCAUAUGCGCAAGCCGAGAAGAAACUUUAAAUUUGAAAACUGGUUGCUUAUGGAAAAUGAUUUUCAUGAAUAUGCUAAAAAUGUUUGGAUUGCUUCUAGGAAUAAAGAUUUCCACAAUAGGACAACUAAUCUUGCAGGAGCUUUGAGAGCUUGGUGCAGAAAGAAAAAGUCAAUUCAACAAGAGCUGGAAAUUUUAGGUGAGCAAAUCAAAAGUAUUCAAAUGAAGCCACUUGAGGCCUUUCAGGUUUGUAAUUACGAGUAG